This 429-nucleotide ribosomal RNA is filed under the name Gemmatimonadota bacterium. RNAcentral's name for it is "Gemmatimonadetes bacterium partial 16S ribosomal RNA". It matches the Rfam family "Bacterial small subunit ribosomal RNA", at positions 355 to 776 of the family's 1533-position model. The record is from RNAcentral. Lineage: Bacteria; Pseudomonadati; Gemmatimonadota.
UAGGGAAUCUUCGGCAAUGGACGAAAGUCUGACCGAGCAACGCCGCGUGAGUGAAGAAGGUUUUCGGAUCGUAAAACUCUGUUGUUAGUGAAGAACAAGGACGUUAGUAACUGAACGUCACCUGACGGUAUCUAACCAGAAAGCCACGGCUAAAUACGUGCCAGCAGCCGCGGUAAUACGUAGGUGGCAAGCGUUGUCCGGAUUUAUUGGGCGUAAAGCGAGCGCAGGCGGUUUCUUAAGUCUGAUGUGAACGCCCCCGGCUCAACCGAGGAGGGUCAUUGGAAACUGGUAGACUUGAGUGCAGAAUAGGAGAGUGUAAUUCCAUGUGUAGCGGUGAAAUGCGUAGUUAUAUGGAGGAACACCAGUGGCGAAGGCGGCUCUCUGGUCUGUAACUGACGCUGAGGCUCGAAAGCGUGGGGAGCAAACAGG